This 492-nucleotide ribosomal RNA is filed under the name uncultured bacterium. RNAcentral describes it as "partial 16S ribosomal RNA". It matches the Rfam family "Bacterial small subunit ribosomal RNA", at positions 29 to 507 of the family's 1533-position model. The record is from RNAcentral.
AGUGAACGCUGGCGGUAGGCCUAACACAUGCAAGUCGAACGGCAGCACAGUAAGAGCUUGCUCUUACGGGUGGCGAGUGGCGAACGGGUGAGGAAUACAUCGGAAUCUACUUUUUCGUGGGGGAUAACGUAGGGAAACUUACGCUAAUACCGCAUACGACCUACGGGUGAAAGCAGGGGAUCUUCGGACCUUGCGCGAUUGAAUGAGCCGAUGUCGGAUUAGCUAGUUGGCGGGGUAAAGGCCCACCAAGGCGACGAUCCGUAGCUGGUCUGAGAGGAUGAUCAGCCACACUGGAACUGAGACACGGUCCAGACUCCUACGGGAGGCAGCAGUGGGGAAUAUUGGACAAUGGGCGCAGGCCUGAUCCAGCCAUACCGCGUGGGUGAAGAAGGCCUUCGGGUUGUAAAGCCCUUUUGUUGGUAAAGAAAAGCAGCAGGUUAAUACCCCGCUGUUCUGACGGUACCCAAAGAAUAAGCACCGGCUAACUUCGUG